This 392-nucleotide ribosomal RNA is filed under the name Anoxybacillus flavithermus TNO-09.006. Its description in RNAcentral is "bacterial SSU rRNA". It matches the Rfam family "Bacterial small subunit ribosomal RNA", at positions 23 to 403 of the family's 1533-position model. Lineage: Bacteria; Bacillati; Bacillota; Bacilli; Caryophanales; Anoxybacillaceae. The record is from RNAcentral.
CUCAGGACGAACGCUGGCGGCGUGCCUAAUACAUGCAAGUCGAGCGGACGAUUCAAAAGCUUGCUUUUGAAUCGUUAGCGGCGGACGGGUGAGUAACACGUGGGCAACCUGCCCUGUAGACGGGGAUAACACCGAGAAAUCGGUGCUAAUACCGGAUAACACGAAAUGUCGCAUGACGUUUCGUUGAAAGACGGCGCAAGCUGUCGCUACAGGAUGGGCCCGCGGCGCAUUAGCUAGUUGGUGAGGUAACGGCUCACCAAGGCGACGAUGCGUAGCCGACCUGAGAGGGUGAUCGGCCACACUGGGACUGAGACACGGCCCAGACUCCUACGGGAGGCAGCAGUAGGGAAUCUUCCGCAAUGGACGAAAGUCUGACGGAGCAACGCCGCGUG